RNAcentral lists this ribosomal RNA (493 nucleotides) under uncultured bacterium. RNAcentral's name for it is "partial 16S ribosomal RNA". It matches the Rfam family "Bacterial small subunit ribosomal RNA", at positions 28 to 507 of the family's 1533-position model. The record is from RNAcentral.
GACGAACGCUGGCGGCGUGCUUAACACAUGCAAGUCGAACGGAAAGGCCUGCUUUCCCUUGUGGAUUGCGGGUACUCGAGUGGCGAACGGGUGAGUAACACGUGAGUGAUCUGCCCCCAACUUGGGUAUAAGCCUGGGAAACUGGGUCUAAUUCCCGAUAGGACUGCAGGGUGGUGCCUGUGGUGGAAAACGAUUUUCUAGUGGUUGGGGAUGAGCUCGCGGCCUAUCAGCUUGUUGGUGGGGUAAUGGCCUACCAAGGCGGCGACGGGUAGCCGGCCUGAGAGGGGGACGGGCAGAUUGGGACUGAGAUACGGCCCAGACUCGUACGGGAGGCAGCAGUGGGGAAUAUUGCACGAUGGGCGGAAGCCUGAUGCAGCGACGCCGCGUGGGGGAUGACGGACUUCGGGUUGUAAACUCCUUUCGACAGCGAGGAAGCCACCUGGUUGGAAGGGUGGUGACGGUAGUGGUAGAAGAAGCACCGGCUAACUACGUG